RNAcentral lists this ribosomal RNA (465 nucleotides) under uncultured bacterium. RNAcentral describes it as "partial 16S ribosomal RNA". It matches the Rfam family "Bacterial small subunit ribosomal RNA", at positions 28 to 507 of the family's 1533-position model. The record is from RNAcentral.
GACGAACGCUGGCGGCGUGCUUAACACAUGCAAGUCGAACGGAAAGGCCCCUUUGGGGGUACUCGAGUGGCGCACGGGUGAGUAACACGUGAGUAACCUGCCCUUGACUUCGGGAUAACUUCAGGAAACUGGGGCUAAUACCGGAUAGGAAUCCUUGCUGCAUGGUGGGGGUUGGAAAGCUUCGGCGGUUUUGGAUGGACUCGCGGCUUAUCAGCUUGUUGGUGGGGUAGUGGCUUACCAAGGCUUCGACGGGUAGCCGGCCUGAGAGGGCGACCGGCCACAUUGGGACUGAGAUACGGCCCAGACUCCUACGGGAGGCAGCAGUGGGGAAUAUUGCACAAUGGGCGGAAGCCUGAUGCAGCAACGCCGCGUGCGGGAUGACGGCCUUCGGGUUGUAAACCGCUUUCAGCAGGGGCGAAGCUUGUGGUGACGGUACCUGCAGAAGAAGCACCGGCUAACUACGUG